RNAcentral lists this ribosomal RNA (468 nucleotides) under uncultured bacterium. RNAcentral describes it as "partial 16S ribosomal RNA". It matches the Rfam family "Bacterial small subunit ribosomal RNA", at positions 28 to 507 of the family's 1533-position model. The record is from RNAcentral.
GACGAACGCUGGCGGCGUGCUUAACACAUGCAAGUCGAACGGAAAGGCCCUGCUUUUGUGGGGUGCUCGAGUGGCGAACGGGUGAGUAACACGUGAGUAACCUGCCCUUGACUUUGGGAUAACUUCAGGAAACUGGGGCUAAUACCGGAUAGGAGCUCCUGCUGCAUGGUGGGGGUUGGAAAGUUUCGGCGGUUGGGGAUGGACUCGCGGCUUAUCAGCUUGUUGGUUGGGGAGGGGCUUACCAAGGCUUUGACGGGUAGCCGGCCUGAGAGGGUGACCGGCCACCUUGCGACUGAGAUAGGCACCAGACUCCUACGGGAGGCAGCAGUGGCAAAUAUUGCACAAUGGGCGGAAGCCUGAUGCAGAAACGCCGCGUGCGGGAUGACGGCCUUCGGGUUGUAAACCGCUUUCGCCUGUGACGAAGCGUGAGUGACGGUAAUGGGUAAAGAAGCACCGGCUAACUACGUG